UANGGAAUCUUCGGCAAUGGACGGAAGUCUGACCGAGCAACGCCGCGUGAGUGAAGAAGGUUUUCGGAUCGUAAAGCUCUGUUGUAAGAGAAGAACGAGUGUGAGAGUGGAAAGUUCACACUGUGACGGUAACUUACCAGAAAGGGACGGCUAACUACGUGCCAGCAGCCGCGGUAAUACGUAGGUCCCGAGCGUUAUCCGGAUUUAUUGGGCGUAAAGCGAGCGCAGGCGGUUAGAUAAGUCUGAAGUUAAAGGCUGUGGCUUAACCAUAGUACGCUUUGGAAACUGUUUAACUUGAGUGCAGAAGGGGAGAGUGGAAUUCCAUGUGUAGCGGUGAAAUGCGUAGAUAUAUGGAGGAACACCGGUGGCGAAAGCGGCUCUCUGGUCUGUAACUGACGCUGAGGCUCGAAAGCGUGGGGAGCAAACAGGAUUAGAUACCCUGGUAGUCCACGCCGUAAACGAUGAGUGCUAGGUGUUGGGUCCUUUCCGGGACUCNNUGCCGCAGCUAACGCAUUAAGCACUCCGCCUGGGGAGUACGACCGCAAGGUUG
RNAcentral lists this ribosomal RNA (550 nucleotides) under uncultured bacterium. Its description in RNAcentral is "bacterial SSU rRNA". It matches the Rfam family "Bacterial small subunit ribosomal RNA", at positions 355 to 896 of the family's 1533-position model. The record is from RNAcentral.